RNAcentral lists this ribosomal RNA (460 nucleotides) under uncultured bacterium. Its description in RNAcentral is "partial 16S ribosomal RNA". It matches the Rfam family "Bacterial small subunit ribosomal RNA", at positions 338 to 795 of the family's 1533-position model. The record is from RNAcentral.
CCUACGUGCGGCAGCAGUGAGGAAUAUUGGUCAAUGGACGAGAGUCUGAACCAGCCAAGUAGCGUGAAGGAUGACUGCCCUAUUGGUUGUAAACUUCUUUUAUAUGGGAAUAAAAUGUUCCACGUGUGGGAUUUUGUAUGUACCAUAUGAAUAAGGAUCGGCUAACUCCGUGCCAGCAGCAGCGGUAAUACGGAGGAUCCGAGCGUUAUCCGUAUUUAUUGGGUUUAAAGGGAGCGUAGGUGGAUUGUGAAGUCAGUUGUGAAAGUUUGCGGCUCAAACGUAAAAUUGAAGUUGAAACUGGCAGUCAUGAGUACAGUAGAGGUGGGCAGAAUUCGUGGUGUAGCGGUGAAAUGCUUAGCUAGCACGAGGAACUCCGAUAGCGAAGGCAGCUCACUGGACUGCAACUGACACUGAGGCUCGAAAGUGUGGGUAUCAAACAGGAUUAGAUACCCGUGUAGUC